RNAcentral lists this long non-coding RNA (2320 nucleotides) under Lactuca sativa (garden lettuce). RNAcentral's name for it is "long non-coding RNA (LSAT_LNC002357)". Lineage: Eukaryota; Viridiplantae; Streptophyta; Magnoliopsida; Asterales; Asteraceae. The record is from RNAcentral.
GGAAAUUCAAUUUAUACGAAUAAAAUAUCAUUUGCACUUCUAAUUAAAACUCUAUAAACUUAUAUUUCUCAUAUAUUACUGUCACUUUCAAUUUUGUUAUUUAUCUAUAGUUAGAUUUUUAAAAAUUGGAAAAUUUAAUAAAAUUGUUAGAUUUAAGAAAUGAAGAGUAAAUUAGAAAAAUUGUCCCAUGGAAAAAAAGAGUCAAAUUAGCGUCGACACAAAAACACAUCAAACUUUAACAUUAAUUCCAUCAAAACUAGCACAUUAACUAUUCUUCUGCCAGUGGGGCUUAUGCAAUAUCUUCUCCUUGUGGUUGCUGGUAAAUGACAUUAAAUAUAAAAGGGUUAAAUCAUUGAAUCAAAUAUAUUAUUAUAAUGAAAAAAACCCAAGUAAAAUUUAGCAUUUCCGAAUAGCUUUGCCUGCCAUAUACAUGGUCAUAAAAUUAUGAAUCAUCUUAUUCCCAUGCCUUAUAUUCUAGAUCUUUCUUCGAUAGUUGGGUUCCAAGGAUUUGGUUUAGUUUUUCUUUGACUCAUAUAAUAAAAAUAAAGGGAGUACAAUGUUAUAUUUGGUUAGAAUGAAAUAAAGGUUAGAUGAUAAACUCACAGUUUAUGAAUAGAAUAAAACAGUUUAACAGGAAACACAUGGUUUGUGAUGAUAAACCAAACCAGAUUGAUGACCAAUAGGUUCUAGAUGGCCACCAUAAAAAAAUGACUAAAAUGACCCUAUCAAAAUAAGCCCUUAGUCAUUAUAGUAGUAGUAGCUAUUGUAGUUGCUAAAAGAUACAAUAGUAAUACCUAGGUGACCACUAAAACCUAUUUCCCAAAUAAGGGUAAAAAUGUCUUCCAUUGGAAUUGGGCACAGGAAAGGUCUGCCUGAAAGACCAACCACCUUUGAAAAUUCUUAGGUGAAACAUAAAAAUCAUGUUGCUUUUACCCAGCCUAAAUUAAUUCCUUUUGCCCACUCUUAUCCCUUAGUUGGAUGAAGAUGCUAUUUUGUUGGUCUUAGCAUACGAAUAAAUCAAAUAGAUAAAAAGUAAUGGACUGAAAGUUUUUUGAGUAUCUAGCAAAAGAAAAGUAAAAUUAUCAAAGGAUAAAAGAGGAAUAUACAUUUAGGUCAUUUUGAAUUUCUCCUGAAUCAGGGGAUGUAUAAUGUUACCAAUAUUUUAUAAGAUAUACCUCAAAGAAGGCUGACCAGAGCUAAAAUACAUCUAAAUUUCUUUUAUAAAAGAUAAUAUCUAAAUUUUUGACACUCCUUUAUUGACGUCUUAUUUUUUCUGAAAAUAACAGCAACAGAUGGAAGCUAGAUACAAAUUCUUUUCUUUCCAAAUGAAAAGAGAACUCAAUGCCUGAAAUUAAAAAACCUCACCAUAUAUAAUCAUAUGGAAAUAUUAGCAAGUGUUACCAUGUAAACAAGAAAACUGAAGUAGGCUUGCUUGAAUCAGAGCAUAAACAUGGCGGUAACAUGAGAACAGAUCAAAUCAAACUUAAAUUUCCUGAGAAGCUGAUGACGAUUUUCAAAAAUUAAAAUUCUAUUAACACAAAAGUCUUGACGUUCUCAAUACUAUGAAAAAAGAAAGGUACAAAGAAAUUACCUUUGAUUAUGAGAAGGUGGCAAGCAGCUUGGAAGAGGUAACCGUCAACUUAGUUGCCCCGGACAUCCGUCUACAACACACAACACACAUAAUGGAGAAACCAUGAUCCCUACUUCACAUUAGGAAAAGAGAUAUUGGAUACUGAUUAUUCCCAAAUUGGAACUUGAUUCGCCAGCCAAAUAAUUAAAACUAAAAAAAAGGAAUUGAAAGGAUUCAGAUGAAACCUCCAUGGAUUUCUAAACCAAACGGACAACGUGCUAUCAGAAACAACUACGAUCAACAAAGUGUGGAUCGGAAACCAUCAGAAUCGAUCUCGCCAGUUUGAACUUCCUUUUCGCACAUAAGCGGUGGAAUUACACAACAUAGAUGGUUAAGACUUGGUGGCUAAAGAAAUCGUCAAAUGAGAGAGAGAGAGAGAGAGAGAGAGAGAGAGAGAGAGAUACUGAAGAAGAAAGGCGAUCCUUUAGGGUUGAUAUUGGAAAAUCGAAUCUCUAUAUGGGAUUAAAUCCCAGAUUUCUGGAAUUUAGGGCUGAUUUAUAGCAUAAAAGUUGGAAAGUAGAGCGAUAAUGAAGGCGGAUUGGUAUUAAGAGGCAGAAAGGGUAUUUUUGGAACUUCACAUAGAAAACUUGAGCGAGAAAAAUUCGCCGGGAGUGGCUCAGGAAUUGCCAUGUGGCAAAAAGGUACUGUUUUAUUAGAAUAGGGAUUUGGUUGUGUAGAUAAUGUAUUUUU